UAUAAAUAGCCUUAUAAGCAACUGAUCAGUUAUCUCGCGUGUGCUCCAGUACAGACUACAGUACAGCCAACCAAAAGAAAAUGCAGAGUAAGAUGGCACCCGUCGUCAUCAGCGACGCCGUGGCGGCCACUCCGCCGGCGGCCGCUCCUGCCGGCGAUCCUCCGGCCGUCACCCCUACGGCGGCGGCCGUCGCGCCUCCAGCCUCUCCAGGGUUAAGCAUAGAACUGACCAUCCACGCCGUGGUCCGUCCCCUACCACCCAGCAGCGAGUCAAAGCCUCCUCCUGCAGUUACGCCAUCCGAUGAUGAUCCAAGCCGACAUGGCCCUCGUGACCCAAUACCUGAUCCUAAAAACCCUCCUCCUAGUCAUCGAGUUGCUCCGCAGUUUGGUCCUCAUGACUCACCUGUUGACUCAUUUCCUGAUCCUAAACACCCUCCUCAUCAGCCUCUGGUUGGUCCAGGGCCUCCAAGCCGUAAUCCUGGUCAAGAUCAACAGCAUUCACCUGUGGACUCGUUUCCUGAUCCUUAACACCCCCCUGCUCGUUCUUCUCAAGGUUAAUCUGCAAGGUCGCUCAAAGCUCUGAACAUGAACCUGCUGCGGAACACACCACAACCAGUUUAAUUUCCUGAUUGUAAUCUGUAAACAAUGCUGGGUCUCGGCACCGGAGAAGAGAUGCAUCACCGGGAAGGAGGCAAGAAAUGAUUUAUCUGGUGUCUAUCGACGUGUAGUACAUAUGCAAGAUCGAUCGACCGAGCCCUCUUGCAGCGUUUUCAUAUUUGUUUUAGCUUCGGCUUGUAAACUGUAACUAAUUUUAUAACUUUUUGCUCAGUUUUGUCAUCUGGUUUUAGGUUUUGUAUAGGUAAGAAUAGCAAUGCAAAUUAAACCCUUAUCUUAAAAUUAGUUUUUGUUGCUUCGGUCACAUAUGUUAGCCGCUGGAAAAAAAAAACGAUCUUUCGAAUUCCCGUUUUCUCAUUUGCGUGCACCCUCCGCUCAAGAUACCUGGAAAAAAAAAAGGGAGAGAGAACCACGAUCAAAAAAAAAAAAAUCAGAACCCCACAAAAAAAAAAAGAGAAGGAGAUUUCACGUCUUGAGAAGAACUGGUGAACUUUCCCAAAAAAAAAAAAUGUUAAAUCCACAGCGCAGAAAGGAAACUCUAUCCAUAGUAUGAGCAGGGCAACACCAACAGCAGCAGGAAAAAGGGACGAGCUGAGGAGAGGAACAGUGAAGUGGAGAGGAAUCACCGGUGGCAGGGAAUUUAACUAUUUGUCACUUUAAGAUUUGCCAAUUAUCAAAAUGCUCCUCUUAGAUUUGCACUUAAUAAUUUAUCACUGGAGAGAGGUAAUUUCUUAACUAUUUGCCACUUUCACCUACGUGGCGUGCCACCGUAUUGUGCCACCGUGGAAAGCAAUGUGGAUCCCACCCGUCAGCCUCUCUCCUCUCCUUCUUCUCUCUAGUGGUUGUCGCCCACCUCCCGCCGGCCCCACGCUGGCCACACACCAUCGUCGGCCGCCGGCCCGUGCUCGCCCACUCCCCCCGCUGGCUCUAGGCCGUAGUCGACUGCCAGCCAGUGCUCGCCCGCUCGCCCCGCGGCCGCCGCCGCCACGCCCAAUAGCUCAGACACCACUAGAGUCCGGCGACUCGACGCGACACGACUCUUCUCCGUCCUGGCGAUGCUGCGGCACGGCCGCCGUGUGGAGGGACACGGCGACGCCCUCCCUCCUUGUCCGCGUCUCCGCCUUCUUCCUCAUCGCCGACGCCGACUCUCUGGUCGGGCCACUGGCCGGCGAGGCGGCCAUGUUGGCCGCCACAACCUACUCCGCCGCGGUGGUCGACUACGUCGUCGCCGAGCACCGACACCACCACCAGGCGUCGUCGCCGCCCGGGACAUCGGACGCCACCACUGCCACCAGCGUACGAGUCACAGGCGGAGAGGCACUACCGCGAGACCUGCAAGAAGUUCACCGCCUUCGCCGUCCUCCUCGUGGACCUUCUACCUCGCGUGGUUGCUACGGCCGAACGACGCGCUGCCGCUGCAGCCGGCAGGGGACGACGGUGUGGGGCCAACGCGGGGCCGGCGGGAGGUCACGGCGACGAUCGGAGGUAGAUAAGAAGGAGAGGAGAGGGACUGAUGGUGGGGUCCACGUUGCUUUUCACGCUGGCACGGUACGGUGGCACGCCACGUAGGCAAAAGUGGCAAAUAGUUAAAAAAUUAUCUCUCUCCGGUGACAAAUUAUUAAGUGCAAACCUAAGAGGGGCAUUUGGAUAAUUGGCAAACCUAAAAGUGGCAAAUAGUUAAAUUCCCCACCGGUGGCAGGUAGCUUGUCGGUUGGCUAGGCAACGACAGCGCACUGCUUCUCCCAGCAGCUUGGUACCUCGUACCUAGCUAGGUACUGGGUACUGGGGUACUAAGGGGCUGUUUGGUUGAUGCCAAUAAGUUGCCAUAUUUGUGGUUAAGUAAGUUUGACCAUGUUAGAUAGGUGUUUGGUUGGCUUCCAUAAGUGUGGCAAGAUUUCUCUUUUAUAAUAUUGGUCUUAGAUGUUAGUGACUCUAAAAGGUGUGGCAUGAUUUAAUUUUGUUGGCUAAAGUGUGGCUUGGAUUUUGAUAGCCUCGCAUUUGACAAGUUUGACAAAGAAAGUAUGGCUAACCUAGGCAAUAUAGGCCGAGUUUAGUUCCAAACUUUCAACUUUUCCAUCACAUCAAAACUUUCAUAUAUACACAAACUUCCAACUUUUCCAUCACAUCAUUCCAAUUUCAACAAAACUUUCAAUUUUAGUGUGAACUAAACACACCUUAGUAUGUGAACUAAACAGCUCCUAAGGCUUAUAAUUGCGGGUGCUAGCCGAGGAUGAUGAGCCGCACGAUGUAUCUGCACAUAACGCGAGUGAGGCAAUCGAUGCUCUAGAUUUGAUCAUUUUGACCUCUUGCUCCGUUAGAUCUAUCAAGAAAAAGGAAGGGCAAGAGGAUCCUUGUACAUCCCCAUCACAGGAAGAACACCAUAUCGCGCCCCCACGGCCAUCGAAACCUCGAGCGCUGCCACUGCCAUCUCCGUGCCCAUACAGCGGUGCAACUGCUUGUACCACUGCCCUCAGAUUCUCAACCAAAACCAGCAAGCCACAGCCUGCCAUGUCAUGUUUGUACCUAGAUACCAGGUAUGACGGGAGCAGGCUAGCAGGGGCAUGGAGCAACAACAGAGAGUGGUGAGUAGGAGGAUGAGCAAGAGUCGACAACGAGGAGGAGGAGCAGUGAGCCAUUCUCGACAUGUACAAGCGAGGUGGAAGAGAAAAAGGAUGAUGGAGAGAUCGCAAGGAGCCAAGGAGGAGGAGGGCCACGAAUGUAUGGUGUAAGCGGAUAGCGCAUCGGGUAGGGAUCAUUAAGUAUGCCGUCCCAUAGUUAGGUUCCUGUCAUAUAGUAUUUCUGUUAAAAAUAUUUCAAGAAAGAAAAAAAGAAGAAUAUUUUUACUUGGCUACAAGUUUUGAAAUGAAUUCCUUCAGGGUUAAGAAUUUGAAGACCGACCUCUAUACCGACAGCUGACUUGGGCCAAGAGAGGUCCACGAGACACCUGGCCCAACUCCCCGUUUUCCCAUGGUAACGAUAGCCCAAGAUUCAUGGCCCAACCACAACCAGAGGUAGCCUAGCGACGGGCUCCCACGACAACAGCCGACGGCGGCGGCGGCGCCCUAUGCAGGUGACGGCGAGUCCGCAAGGGAAACCGAAACGGGCGGCGCCGCCGCUCGGGACUCUGGAGUGAGCGGCGCCGGCAGCUGGGACUCCGAGAGUAGCAGCCUAGCAGGAACACGAGCAGGCAAGCAGCCAGCAGAGCAACACACUUGCCAAGAGAGGAUGGGAUGUUGCCAGACAACCUGUUGUUUGAGAUGCUAAGGUUUUUCAGAUUAAUGAGAUUUCCAACUUCCUCUGGUAUUCCUCCGAACAAGUAAUUGUGUGACAGGUCCAACUCUUGGGAAGUGACAAAAUUUUGAAGAUCUGAUUUGGUAUUCUUCCAUCUAGUGAGUUAUGGGCAAGGUUGAGUAUUGCCAGUUGAGUACAAUGCUCUAGAGUUGCUGGUAUGCCUCCACUAAAGUAAUUCCUAUCUAACUUCAGAUCGGUUAGCUUAACAAGGUUGCCAAUUGUAUCAGGGAUUUGUCCUGACAGGUUGUUUUGGGCCAUGGCUAGAACGACCAAGUUGUUCAAAUUUCCAAUUGCCGGGGGUAUGUUUCCUGUCAAAAGAUUGUAAUCCAUGUACAACAUUUCCAAGCCCUUUAGAUUUCCCAACUCUGGUGGUAUAUGCCCAGAAAUUUUGUUGUCUCUUAGCCACAACCAUUUGAGACUACUGGAAAGAUUGCCAAUGGAACGAGGCAGUUUACCUUUGAGAUUGUUCCCAUCUAUCAAUAGUUUUGUCAAUUUGGAGCAAUUCGAUAGUGAUGAAAUAAAACUCCAGUCAGCUGCUUCCAGCUUGUUGUAUGACAACAUAACUUCCUCCAAAUUUAGCAAUGAUCCAAAGAAAGGAAUGAGCCCAGUAAGGCUAUUAUUGCGCAAGUACAGCGAUUUCAGAUUGGAAGCAUUGACAAGAGUAGGUGGGAUUGGGCCUUUGAACCUAUUAUUGGACAGAAUUAAUGUUUUAAUAUUUGGGAGUGUAUAACCUAAGUUUGAUGGUAAUUCCCCUGUGAGUGAGUUAUUUGCCAUGGCUAGACUUUUCAGGGAUGACAAGUUGAAGAUGGAUGAUGGAACAUGCCCAGUUAAUUUGUUUACAUUCAAAUUCAACAGUUCUAGUGUUGGAAUAUGGCCUAAACUAUCUGGUAUGCUACCGGUUAAAUUGUUCCGUGUGAGACUUAGAUCAAGUAGGGAGGAAAGAUUUCCUAAUGAGGAAGGUAUUGUUCCUGAUAGUUUGUUACCCCCUAAAUAUAGAUACUGUAAAGGGAGAGGGGUGGCAGUAACAUGUGGUAUAGAACCAACAAAGUUAUUCUCAUCAAGGUAAAUAUCAGUAAGAGUUGAGGAGGUGAACAAAGGCUUUGGGAUUUCUCCAGUAAGGGUAUUUCUCGUGAGGACAAGUACUUUGAGGGAUGAACUAUUCAGUAAGGACUGUGGUAUGCUCCCUGUGAGAGCAUUGCUCUCGAGAUUAACAUAUGUGAGCGAAAGGCUGCUUCCUAAAGACGCUGGUAUGUCGCCGGUGAGUCUAUUGCUAGCAAGAACAACUUUUUCAAGCUUAGGAAGGUUCCCAAAAGCAUAAGGGAUCCUCCCCUGGAGCUUGUUCUUGCUGAGGUGAAUCUUUUUAAGACGAUUGCAUUGACUUAGGCUAGCUGGGAUUUCACCUUGGAUGAAAUUGUUCGACAAAUCUAAGAUUUCAAGUUGGGAACAUGAAGAAAGUUCAGAAGGGAUGUUACCUUCUAGAGAGUUCAUGCUGAGGUUGAGGUUGUUGAGUUGUCCGAGUAGACCGAGCACUGAAGGUAUGCUGCCAUUGAAGCUAUUGUUUGAUAGUUGCAACAUUGUAAGAGAGGUGAGGUUGGCAAUGCAAGGUGAUAUGGAGCCAGAGAUGCCUUCUGAUGCCAAGUCUAUUGCAGUGACACGACGGGGAGAUGGUGUGCUGCAAGUGACACCAUGCCAAUUGCAGAACUCCUGGGACGCAUUGCUCCAUGAGGCUAGUACUCCCGGUGGACCUGAGAGCUGGGACUUGAAGCAUAGGAGAGCUUGACGAUCAUUUUCAUGUUCAUCACUGAUGGCUAUUGGUAGAAUCAUAAAGAUAAUGGAUAGGCAAAGCCAAACAAUGCCUGAGGACAAGACGCCCAAACAUGCCAUUUAGUUCUGUGUGGCUAAGCUUCUAUAGUUGAUGAAAACUUGCUUUGUAAUAGGAGUACUACGCUACAUAAAUACUCUCUAUGGUACCAGGCAUCUGGUCGAUCUAAUCCAUGACACGGUGGGAACUUGUAUGAUCCAUGAAUACACGUUUUUUGCAAUGCAAUUCAACCACAUUUGAA
This is a non-coding RNA of Oryza sativa Japonica Group (Japanese rice), 5968 nucleotides long. Lineage: Eukaryota; Viridiplantae; Streptophyta; Magnoliopsida; Poales; Poaceae. The record is from RefSeq and is a predicted model, not a curated record.